UUACGGUCCCCCCGCAACGAUAGGAAGUGAACUCCGCCAGGCCUGGAAGGGAGCAACGGUAACUUUUGAUUCGUGUGCCGGGGUGUGGCUGUUUGGG
RNAcentral lists this signal recognition particle RNA (97 nucleotides) under Candidatus Litorirhabdus singularis. Its description in RNAcentral is "signal recognition particle sRNA small type". It matches the Rfam family "Bacterial small signal recognition particle RNA". From Rfam's summary of the family: The signal recognition particle (SRP) is a universally conserved ribonucleoprotein involved in the co-translational targeting of proteins to membranes. Archaeal SRP consists of a 7S RNA and homologues of the eukaryotic SRP19 and SRP54 proteins. In most bacteria, the SRP consists of a 4.5S RNA and the Ffh protein (a homologue of the eukaryotic SRP54 protein). Lineage: Bacteria; Pseudomonadati; Pseudomonadota; Gammaproteobacteria; Cellvibrionales; Halieaceae. The record is from RNAcentral.